This 107-nucleotide transfer RNA is filed under the name Sporisorium reilianum f. sp. reilianum. Its description in RNAcentral is "transfer RNA-Ile(AAT)". It matches the Rfam family "tRNA". Rfam says of the family: Transfer RNA (tRNA) molecules are approximately 80 nucleotides in length. Their secondary structure includes four short double-helical elements and three loops (D, anti-codon, and T loops). The record is from RNAcentral. Lineage: Eukaryota; Fungi; Basidiomycota; Ustilaginomycetes; Ustilaginales; Ustilaginaceae.
GCCUCGUUAGCGUAGUUGGAUUAUCGCAUCUGUCUAAUAUAUAGUGCUUUAGAUCAGUCUGAGUAUUAUACAACAGAAGGUCACUGGUUCGAGCCCAGUACGGAGCA